This 3664-nucleotide long non-coding RNA is filed under the name Homo sapiens (human). Its description in RNAcentral is "HSALNT0325974". The record is from RNAcentral. Lineage: Eukaryota; Metazoa; Chordata; Mammalia; Primates; Hominidae.
UGUAGUUCAGUGUCUGCGUCUAAGAGAGUACUUUGUUGCUGCACCCGCCAGAGGGAAGAAAUACUGUAUCUUCUCAUGAAGGAAGGAACCGAAGCUAUAUUAUUUCCCUUAUGUUGGACCAUAAAUCUAAAAUUGUAAUUAAAUGUCCAUCCUCCAAAAAUGGAUAUGCAAGCGUGUACAUGUCUUUAAAGGUAAGACACAGAAGCUGCCAAUGUAAUUUGUACAGAAGUUAUAUUUUUUAUCCGUGUGUGCACAUACAAGGUGGAAUGCCCAUUGUAUGAGGAACAUUCUGUACAUUGAUUAUGUGUAAUUGAAUGCAAGAACUUAUACAGAGGUACAUUAAGAUGAAGAAACAUGUUUAUCUUGUUCUCUCUUCUCUGUAGCAUUGAAAUUUCAGCUGCAAAGAAAAGGGUAGGCAAGUCAGGGCAAUGAUAAUUUUUCUCAAUUAAAACAAUUUUAAAAUCCAAAUGAAUACUAAGGGGAGAAAGAGAGCCAACUACCCAUAAGUAUUUAUAAUUUGAUUAAAAUUCUGUUUUGUUGAACUCUUCACAUUAUUUAAUAAGAGGUAGUGAGCUUAGAAUAGCUUACCCUGCUCAGAUAAACCAUUACAAGCUUUGCAAUUUACUAAUCAUCAAUCUAAAACAAAUUUCUGUAAUAUUUUAGCCCCUCUUCACUGAUACAUAAAGAGAACUUGCAUAUAAAAACAAUAGAGGAAUUCAAGAUUCUAUACAUUUAAAAUCUCAACUGUAGAAAUGAUUUUCUGCCAUAUCUAGUAAUUCAGAGCUAGACAAAACCAUUAAUUUGAUUAUAUACCUGCUAUGGUUUGAAUGUGUCCCCCAAAGUUUAUGUGUUGGAAACCUAAUUCUCAAUGUAAUGGUGUUGGGAGUUAGGGCCUAAUAAGAGGUGAUUAAAUUAUGAGAGUUCUGCCCUCAUGAAUGGACUAAUAUCAUUUUCCUUGGAGUGGGUUAGUUAUUAUGAGAAUGGUUUUGUUAUAAAAACAAGUUUGGCCCAUUCUUGCUAGCUUGCUUUUGCCUACUCUUGACCUUCUGCUUUCUGCCAUGGGAUGACAGAGAAUGUAGGCACUCACCUGCCAUUGCUAUGCAUUUGAAUUUCCAGUCUCCAGAACCAUGAACCAUGGUUCAUUAUAAACUAACAAGUCUGUGAGAGUCUGUUAUGAGUAUAAAAUGAACUAAGUCCCUAAUGUGCAAUAUGAAAAAAUGAAUACAAGAUUAAUCUCUCAGACUACCUUUCACUAUCCAGUGUAGAGAGAAUCAGUCCAGGGUAAAACUAACUUUAUGUAAUGAAGGAUAAAAGGAAGAAAUCAAAUUAAUGAAAAUUGAUGCAUGGAUUAGAAAAAAAAUCGUUAAAAAAAUUAAAUGGUUGUACCCAAAGGAGACACAAUGCAUGGUUUAAGUGGGAAACCUCACUGACCAUGACAUUUAUUUUUAAUUAGCAAUUCAACUAAUGUAUAGCAUCAGUAACAUUGUCAAUAAUUAUCUCCCAAGCUUUGUCAUUGUAUAUAAUUUAUAGAACUCUCCAUAUAUGUUGUUUUUUCAUACAUUUACAAUAUUUUUAAAAUUUAAACCAGUAGUCUAAUGUAAUAAGAACUAUUUCACUAUGAAAGAUAAAGAGUGUAAUAAUUCCUGUCAAAAGUCCAAUGGACAUUGUCUAGGUAAGCAGAAUCCAGAUAGUUCACCUGAAAAAUAGUAAAAUGUCCAAACAGCUUCAUAAAUAAAUAGACUAUGUUUAAUCUUAAAAAACUGCUAAUAUACAUAUUUGAUAUUAAGAAUUUUAAAAUUAAUUUCACUGGAGUUUGAGACUCUUAAUUUAGAGAAAAAUGUAACAUUUUAUAUAUACAGUUUUUGAAUUCAAUUUUUUUUAACAAUUGAAAAACCAUACCAUGCUAAGAAUUUGCAUUUGAACACUGAAAUAUUCUCUAAGUGGCCUGUUAGUGUAUUAAAAUUUCCUCUUAAACCUUUUUAUUUUUAUGUUUUUUUAAAGCUCCUAGUGGAAGGUUUGGCUACAUAAACUGUAUUUCAUAAAGUUCGGCUCUGAAGCAUAAUGCCAAUUGCACAGUUGCCCACAUUGAGCUAUGAAUGGGCAGCGUUUGUAACCAUGGAUAUGGUGAACUUAAUGCGAGAGCCAUAUUCAUCUGAGGCUUGCAAGGGUUGGACAGUGCCCUACCUAGAUAUUCUUUACUGGGUCAGUGAGCGAUCUCCAGCUGCCAAGUGAUGUCAGCUCACUCCAGAGAAUUGGCCUUGUCUGACAGAAGUAUGCCCAAUAAAAUGUAUGCAUAUGAAUCACUGUCUUAAACUCUACUUCUAGAAAAUCCAAACUAUGAGACUCUUAUUAAGAAAAAUAAGCAGUAUUUUUCUGAAAUUCUUAUUCUUUCUUUUUUUUCCCAAUAUAAAAGGUUUUUUUUUUCUUUUGCUAGUAUUGCAGAUUUUGUUUCACAUAGCAUUCUUUCUCUCUCUCUUUCGCUCCCUCUCUCUUAGUCUCUCUGUCAGCGGUCAGGGAUUAUUAUCAGUCUGUCAUGGGUCAGGGAUUAUUUGAUUUAACCUUCACAGUGCUUUUAGCAGAUAGGGAGCAUUAUCAUAACUGGUUUUAUUUUGACAACAGUUGGAGUAGCUGUAAAUUGGAUAAUAUAAAUAUUGGCCAAGGUCACACAUUUAGUAAGUGGUGGAGUUGAGAUUGCAAUCUGGUCUGUCUGACUCUAGAGUAACGGAACUCUUAACUGCUACGCCACACUGCGUCCCCUUAUAAUUUAGGGAGCCCAGUGUUGGUGAACGGUAGGACCUAUCACCAGCUCCCUCGUAGUCCAAUUAGAUGCUGAUCAAACAUCCUUUUCAAAUAUUCAGGCACAGAGAAUUGGGCAAAUUAUAAUUAUAUAUGUAGAGAGAAUGUAUAUGAAUAUGCUUUACACGUCCAUAUAAUUUAAAGAAAUUCAUCCAGGUAUGUUCAUUUGGGGCAAUAUCCUUUUGAGGCCUUGUGGAAAUAAACUAAUGAUUUCAAACAGAAAGCAAAAGAAAAACGGGAUGGUAGGAGUUCUGUUAGACAGGUGUUCUGUCCUUCGCCUACCUACUAACUUAAUGCAACUUUGCAAAUCUAUAGUAGGUUUUCUUUAGGACUACACUGCCCUGGUCCUUUGUUUAUGUUUUUCUCUCAUCCAUUGUGGAUUGUAAUGCCCUCAGUACUGAAUAAUAAACACAAGUCUGAUGGUAGGGGCUACCUAAUGAACUCUAUACCCUAUAUCUGCAUUUGUAUAUUUUUUCUCAAUUUAUGUUAGCUUCUUUGGUCUAAAGGUAGGAACUUAAACUUCCUAAUAUUUAUUUUCACUUGCGUUAAUGAUCUUUUGUUUAGAAUUAUUUAUGUACUCAUAAUAUUGCUCCUUAAUGUAUUCUUAAAUGUGUUACUUGGAAUCUUUCUCACAGAACUUUGGCAUGUUUCUAUGUUUAUACUUCCGGUUUUUUUUUUUAAUGCUUUAAUUAUCUAAAUUUUUAGUAUCUGAAUUAUUUACUUUUGUAUAUAUCUUUUAUUCUUAUCAAUGUUUACCUGGAGUAGUACAGGGACAAAUUCCAAUAUUCUUACUUAUCACAGCAUAUUACUUGGCAAGUCCUCAGAUUUAUCAGUAUUAUAUUUGAAGAUAAAGAACUAUCUAAUAAAA